CAGGAAGAUAAAAGACCCAGAUUCCUGUUGCUCAGCAUGAGUUGGAGGUUGAAGAAAGGUAAUGUAUGACUGAGAUUGGCAUGGAAGGAGCAAGAAAAUAGCACUGAACCUGAAGGGGGACCUUCUGCAUGAGAAGAAAGACAAGGCCAAAACAAAAACGCCUUAGUGGAUGCUAACGAGGACAAGUGAAUCACUAGAACAAGACUCCCAUUCUCGUUCCUCAUCAAGCUCUUGGAAUUAGAUGUGACUUCAGAAAAAAUUUGUAGUUGUAAAAAAACACUGAAUAGAUGGAAAUUAAAUGGAGGGGUCAGUGCAGAAUAAAAACUCACAUGGUAAACUCUGUGAAGAUUUAAUGCAUCUAUUUUGAAGGUUGAGAGGAUUCAAUGUCACCGGGUUCAGCCUCUGUUCUUUCCCUAGAAACUCAGGUGAUUUGGAAGCUCUGAAGCUGCCCAGGGGUGUUUUCCAAGUGUUUUCAGUGUCUGUCAGCCUAAUGGAAGUAGAAGUCCAAGAUUUCCUCUGGAUCACGCUGUGCAUUUCAGUAAAACACACAAAAAAUUUUUUUUGUGCUUGAUUUUAUUGUUACUCUCUUGUUAAUCAGAAGCUCUCAUGGUUCAAUU
Molecule: long non-coding RNA, 617 nt
Filed under: Chinchilla lanigera (long-tailed chinchilla)
Lineage: Eukaryota; Metazoa; Chordata; Mammalia; Rodentia; Chinchillidae
Description: lncRNA (ENSCLAG00000025200.1)
Source: RNAcentral